Molecule: unclassified non-coding RNA, 114 nt
Filed under: Epilithonimonas hungarica
Lineage: Bacteria; Pseudomonadati; Bacteroidota; Flavobacteriia; Flavobacteriales; Weeksellaceae
Description: Chryseobacterium hungaricum Flavo-1 RNA
Source: RNAcentral
CUGCAGCCCGACUUGAACGGAGCUCUUUUUUUCAUUGCGAAUAUUGUCAAGUUCUAUUUAUUGACUCACGUCAAUCGCAAUGAAAAAAAAGCGGGAGUGGAAGGCGGAAAUAGC